RNAcentral lists this ribosomal RNA (1422 nucleotides) under uncultured marine bacterium. RNAcentral describes it as "bacterial SSU rRNA". It matches the Rfam family "Bacterial small subunit ribosomal RNA". The record is from RNAcentral.
UGAUCCUGGCUCAGAACGAACGCUGGCGGCAGGCCUAACACAUGCAAGUCGAGCGCUACCUUCGGGUGGAGCGGCGGACGGGUUAGUAACGCGUGGGAAUAUACCCAGUUCUAAGGAAUAGCCACUGGAAACGGUGAGUAAUACCUUAUACGCCCUUCGGGGGAAAGAUUUAUCGGAAUUGGAUUAGCCCGCGUUAGAUUAGAUAGUUGGUGGGGUAAUGGCCUACCAAGUCUACGAUCUAUAGCUGGUUUGAGAGGAUGAUCAGCAACACUGGGACUGAGACACGGCCCAGACUCCUACGGGAGGCAGCAGUGGGGAAUCUUAGACAAUGGGCGAAAGCCUGAUCUAGCCAUGCCGCGUGAGUGAUGAAGGCCCAAGGGUCGUAAAGCUCUUUCAACUGUGAAGAUAAUGACGGUAGCAGUAGAAGAAACCCCGGCUAACUCCGUGCCAGCAGCCGCGGUAAUACGGAGGGGGUUAGCGUUGUUCGGAAUUACUGGGCGUAAAGCGUACGUAGGCGGAUUAAUAAGUUAGAGGUGAAAUCCCAGGGCUCAACCCUGGAACUGCCUUUAAAACUGUUAGUCUUGAGAUCGAGAGAGGUGAGUGGAAUUCCAAGUGUAGAGGUGAAAUUCGUAGAUAUUUGGAGGAACACCAGUGGCGAAGGCGGCUCACUGGCUCGAUACUGACGCUGAGGUACGAAAGUGUGGGGAGCAAACAGGAUUAGAUACCCUGGUAGUCCACACCGUAAACGAUGAAUGCCAGACGUCAGCAAGCAUGCUUGUUGGUGUCACACCUAACGGAUUAAGCAUUCCGCCUGGGGAGUACGGUCGCAAGAUUAAAACUCAAAGGAAUUGACGGGGGCCCGCACAAGCGGUGGAGCAUGUGGUUUAAUUCGACGCAACGCGCAGAACCUUACCAACCCUUGACAUACUUGUCGCGGAUUCCAGAGAUGGAUUCCUUCAGUUCGGCUGGACAAUGUACAGGUGCUGCAUGGCUGUCGUCAGCUCGUGUCGUGAGAUGCUCGGUUAAGUCCGGCAACGAGCGCAACCCACGUCCUUAGUUACCAGCAUUUAGUUGGGUACCCUAAGGAGACUGCCGGUGAUAAGCCGGAGGAAGGUGUGGACGACGUCAAGUCAUCAUGGCCCUUACGGGUUGGGCUACACACGUGCUACAAUGGCAUCUACAGUGAGUUAAUCUCCAAAAGAUGUCUCAGUUCGGAUUGGGGUCUGCAACUCGACCCCAUGAAGUUGGAAUCGCUAGUAAUCGCGGAACAGCAUGCCGCGGUGAAUACGUUCCCGGGCCUUGUACACACCGCCCGUCACACCAUGGGAAUUGGGUCUACCCGAAGGUGGUGCGCCAACUAUUUAUAGAGGCAGCCAACCACGGUAGGUUCAGUGACUGGGGUGAAGUCGUAACAAGGUAACC